Molecule: microRNA precursor, 185 nt
Filed under: Medicago truncatula (barrel medic)
Lineage: Eukaryota; Viridiplantae; Streptophyta; Magnoliopsida; Fabales; Fabaceae
Description: MIR2619 microRNA precursor family
Rfam family: MIR2619 microRNA precursor family
Source: Rfam by way of RNAcentral
AAACCGCCCCCUAAGUUUUGCAACUGUAGCAGUUUUGGUCCCCCAAGGUCAAUUUUUGGUAAAAAAAAAAUUAAAAAAUAACACGUGGCACGCACCUCACUUAGGGUGCCACGUCAACGUAGACCGAGUCAAAAUUGGCCUUGAGGGCCAAAACUGCCACAGAUGCAAAACUUAGGGGGCGGUUU